This is a long non-coding RNA of Priapulus caudatus, 328 nucleotides long. RefSeq lists it as uncharacterized. The record is from RefSeq and is a predicted model, not a curated record. NCBI's taxonomy places the organism in Eukaryota, Metazoa, Priapulida, Priapulimorpha, Priapulimorphida, Priapulidae. The transcript is spliced from 3 exons.
UCCGCUGAAGCAAGGUUUGCGAAAGCUAGCACGUCUUCUCCAUCUGCCCCAACUUGUGGCGCAUUGGCCAAAAGCGUUGACGUUUUCGUGCAAGGACGAAGACGAGGACGACGACAAGCCAGGACCGUAUCCAGUCCCAGAGAAUAACAUCAUGGUAGAGAUGAGUGCGGUGCGGCACGACCAGCGUCCACUAGAUUUCACCGAAACGUCGGUUAACCAUGUGCCAGACUCCAUAGAGGCCGGAAGCAUCGGCAUGUGUUCGUCGCCUGGUGACAGCAUAACUCAACAGAGCGCUCCCAAGCUGCACGACAGCGACAAGGUCGUACAG